Molecule: ribosomal RNA, 253 nt
Filed under: uncultured bacterium
Lineage: Bacteria
Description: partial 16S ribosomal RNA
Rfam family: Bacterial small subunit ribosomal RNA
Source: RNAcentral
UACGUAGGAGGCAAGCGUUGUCCGGAAUUACUGGGUGUAAAGCGCGUGUAGGCGGCCCGGUAAGUCCGCUGUGAAAGUCCAGGGCUCAACCCUGGGAUGCCGGUGGAUACUGUCGGGCUCGAGUCCGGAAGAGGCGAGUGGAAUUCCUGGUGUAGCGGUGAAAUGCGCAGAUAUCAGGAGGAACACCAAUGGCGAAGGCAGCUCGCUGGGACGUGACUGACGCUGAGACGCGAAAGCGUGGGGAGCAAACAGG